This 1373-nucleotide ribosomal RNA is filed under the name uncultured bacterium. RNAcentral describes it as "16S ribosomal RNA". It matches the Rfam family "Bacterial small subunit ribosomal RNA", at positions 30 to 1393 of the family's 1533-position model. The record is from RNAcentral.
UGAACGCUGGCGGUAUGCUUAACACAUGCAAGUCGAACGGAAACGAUACUAGCUUGCUAGUAGGCGUCGAGUGGCGGACGGGUGAGUAACGCGUAGGAAUCUGCCUGAUAGUGGGGGAUAGCCCGAAGAAAUUCGGAUUAAUACCGCAUAAUCUAUUCGUAGUAAAGUGGGGGACUUUCGAGCCUCACGCUAUCAGAUGAGCCUGCGUAAGAUUAGCUUGUUGGUAGGGUAAAAGCCUACCAAGGCGACGAUCUUUAGCUGGUCUGAGAGGAUGAUCAGCCACAUCGGGACUGAGACACGGCCCGAACUCCUACGGGAGGCAGCAGUGGGGAAUAUUGGACAAUGGGGGCAACCCUGAUCCAGCAAUACCGCGUGUGUGAAGAAGGCCUGAGGGUUGUAAAGCACUUUCAAUUGUGAAGAAAAGUUAGCGGUUAAUAACCGUUAGCCUUGACGUUAACUUUAGAAGAAGCACCGGCUAACUCCGUGCCAGCAGCCGCGGUAAUACGGAGGGUGCAAGCGUUAAUCGGAAUUACUGGGCGUAAAGCGUGCGUAGGCGGUUUAUUAAGUCAGAUGUGAAAGCCCCGGGCUUAACCUGGGAACUGCAUUUGAAACUGGUCAACUAGAGUAUGGUAGAGGAAAGUGGAAUUUCUGGUGUAGCGGUGAAAUGCGUAGAUAUCAGAAAGGAACAUCAAUGGCGAAGGCAGCUUUCUGGACCAAUACUGACGCUGAGGUACGAAAGCGUGGGUAGCAAACAGGAUUAGAUACCCUGGUAGUCCACGCCGUAAACGAUGAUAACUAGCCGUUGGGGGGAUUUACCCUUUAGUGGCGAAGCUAACGCGUUAAGUUAUCCGCCUGGGGAGUACGGCCGCAAGGUUAAAACUCAAAGGAAUUGACGGGGACCCGCACAAGCGGUGGAGCAUGUGGUUUAAUUCGAUGCAACGCGAAGAACCUUACCUGGUCUUGACAUCCUGCGAACUUUCUAGAAAUAGAUUGGUGCCUUCGGGAACGCAGUGACAGGUGCUGCAUGGCUGUCGUCAGCUCGUGUCGUGAGAUGUUGGGUUAAGUCCCGUAACGAGCGCAACCCCUAUCCUUAUUUGCCAGCACAUCAUGGUGGGAACUAUAAGGAGACUGCCGGUGAUAAACCGGAGGAAGGCGGGGACGACGUCAAGUCAUCAUGGCCCUUACGACCAGGGCUACACACGUGCUACAAUGGGAAGGACAAAGAGCCGCGAAGCCGCGAGGUGUAGCUAAUCUCAUAAACCUUUUCGUAGUCCGGAUUGGAGUCUGCAACUCGACUCCAUGAAGUCGGAAUCGCUAGUAAUCGUAGAUCAGAAUGCUACGGUGAAUACGUUCCCGGGUCUUGUACACACCGC